AGCAGCCGCGGUAAUUCCAGCUCCAAUAGCGUAUAUUAAAGUUGUUGCAGUUAAAAAGCUCGUAGUUGAAUUUCGGGAUUAAUUUAUUGGUCGUGCUAUUGUACGUACUGGUAUUAUUGAUUCCUACCUUCUGACGAACCAUGAUGUCAUUAAUUUGGUGUCAUGGGGAAUCAGGACUGUUACUUUGAAAAAUUAGAGUGUUUAAAGCAAGCUCGCGCUUGAAUACAUUAGCAUGGAAUAAUGAAAUAGGACGUUUGAUUCUAUUUUGUUGGUUUCUAGGAUCGACGUAAUGAUUAAUAGGGAUAGUUGGGGGCAUUAGUAUUCAAUUGUCAGGGGUGAAAUUCUUGGAUUUAUUGAAGACUAACUACUGCGAAAGCAUUUGCCAAGGAUGUUUUCAAUUAAUACAAGAACGAAAGUUAGGGGAUCGAAGACGAUCAGAUACCGUCGUAGUCUU
Molecule: ribosomal RNA, 454 nt
Filed under: uncultured Glomus
Lineage: Eukaryota; Fungi; Glomeromycota; Glomeromycetes; Glomerales; Glomeraceae
Description: SSU rRNA
Rfam family: Eukaryotic small subunit ribosomal RNA
Source: RNAcentral